CCCUUAGAUGUUCUGGGCCGCACGCGCGCUACACUGACUACUUCAACGAGUUGUUUCCUUGAUCGAAAGGUCUGGGUAAUCUUUGAAAGGUAGUCGUGAUGGGGAUAGAUCCUUGCAAUUUUUGAUCUUCAACGAGGAAUUCCUAGUAAACGCAAGUCAUCAGCUUGCAUUGAUUACGUCCCUGCCCUUUGUACACACCGCCCGUCGCACCUACCGAUUGAAUGGUCCGGUGAAUCUUUAGGACUGUGGCUGAGGCCUUGCCUUGUGCGGGUCUGGCCGUGGGAAUUUAGUUAAACCUUACUAUUUAGAGGAAGGUGAAGUCGUANCA
RNAcentral lists this ribosomal RNA (328 nucleotides) under uncultured eukaryote. RNAcentral describes it as "partial 18S ribosomal RNA". It matches the Rfam family "Eukaryotic small subunit ribosomal RNA", at positions 1470 to 1796 of the family's 1831-position model. The record is from RNAcentral.